RNAcentral lists this ribosomal RNA (483 nucleotides) under uncultured bacterium. RNAcentral's name for it is "partial 16S ribosomal RNA". It matches the Rfam family "Bacterial small subunit ribosomal RNA", at positions 30 to 506 of the family's 1533-position model. The record is from RNAcentral.
AUUGAACGCUGGCGGCAGGCCUAACACAUGCAAGUCGAGCGGAUGAAGGGAGCUUGCUCCUGGAUUCAGCGGCGGACGGGUGAGUAAUGCCUAGGAAUCUGCCUGGUAGUGGGGGAUAACGUCCGGAAACGGGCGCUAAUACCGCAUACGUCCUGAGGGAGAAAGUGGGGGAUCUUCGGACCUCACGCUAUCAGAUGAGCCUAGGUCGGAUUAGCUAGUUGGUGGGGUAAAGGCCUACCAAGGCGACGAUCCGUAACUGGUCUGAGAGGAUGAUCAGUCACACUGGAACUGAGACGCGGUCCAGACUCCUACGGGAGGCAGCAGUGGGGAAUAUUGGAAGAUGGGCGAAAGCCUGAUCCAGCCAUGCCGCGUGUGUGAAGAAGGUCUGCGGAUUGUAAAGCACUUUAAGUUGGGAGGAAGGGCAGUAAGUUAAUACCUGGCUGUUUUGACGUUACCAACAGAAUAAGCACCGGCUAACUUCGU